AGAGUUUGAUCCUGGCUCAGGAUGAACGCUAGCUACAGGCUUAACACAUGCAAGUCGAGGGGCAGCAUGUUGGUUGCUUGCAACCAAUGAUGGCGACCGGCGCACGGGUGAGUAACGCGUAUCCAACCUACCCUUGUCCAUCGGAUAACCCGUCGAAAGGCGGCCUAACACGAUAUGCGGUUCACAGCAGGCAUCUAAGGUGAACGAAAUGUGAAGGAGAAGGAUGGGGAUGCGUCUGAUUAGCUUGUUGGCGGGGUAACGGCCACCAAGGCGACGAUCAGUAGGGGUUCUGAGAGGAAGGUCCCCCACAUUGGAACUGAGACACGGUCCAAACUCCGUAGGGAGCA
RNAcentral lists this ribosomal RNA (347 nucleotides) under uncultured bacterium. Its description in RNAcentral is "bacterial SSU rRNA". It matches the Rfam family "Bacterial small subunit ribosomal RNA", at positions 8 to 349 of the family's 1533-position model. The record is from RNAcentral.